Long non-coding RNA from Rosa rugosa (rugosa rose), 819 nucleotides. RefSeq lists it as uncharacterized. The transcript is spliced from 3 exons. Lineage: Eukaryota; Viridiplantae; Streptophyta; Magnoliopsida; Rosales; Rosaceae. The record is from RefSeq and is a predicted model, not a curated record.
UAAUGUUGAGUUGGUGUGCAGAACCACUUAUCAGUAUUUCAAGCUUUCUUUCUGUGUUCCUUCUGUUAGGUCUCAUUAAGAUUCUUCACAAGCUAUGGUGGACUCCAACUCGCAUACAGAAAUCGUUGGCUUCUCAGAGAGUCGAAGGCCCUUCUUACAGACUUAUCCAUGGAAACAGCAAAGAAAUCUCCAACAUGAGAAUUGAAGCCAUGAGCAAGCCCAAAAGUUUAACCCAUGACAUAUUUUCUCAAGUUCAACCUCAUACUCACUCAUGGAGAAAAAUAUAUGGGAAGAAUUUUCUCCAAUGGUAUGGCUCUCAAGCUCAGUUGCUUAUUAUGGAACCUGAAUUGUGCAAAGAGAACAAUAAAGACAGAACUUUCACAAAAAGGGAACCCCAAAGCUUUGUGAAGAAGGUAUUAGGAGAUGGUCUUGCUGCAACAACCACCCAAGCUGAAAAAUGGGCAAAAGUUCGAAAAAUAGCUAACCAUGCUUUCUAUGGAGAGAGCUAAAAAGUAUGAUUCCAGUAAUGAUAGCUAGUACUGAGACGAUGCUUGAGAGGUGGAAAAAUCAUGAAAGAGAAGAGAUUGAGGUGGUUGAAGAAUUUAGGUUGUUGACUUCAGAAGUGAUGAUCUCAAAAACAGCAUUUGGCAGCAGCUACUUAGAAGGGCAGAACAUUUUUGAGAUGUUAAUGAAGUUGUACUCCUUAAUAUCCAGAAACUUUUUUUGAAGUCAGGGUUCCAGUCAUCAGGUAACUUCUGUAAGAUUAAAAUGGACAUUAUCAUUUAAGUUCAAUAAAGUACUCGGCAACUUGUCAUUCAC